RNAcentral lists this ribosomal RNA (550 nucleotides) under Arthrobacter bussei. RNAcentral describes it as "bacterial SSU rRNA". It matches the Rfam family "Bacterial small subunit ribosomal RNA", at positions 365 to 916 of the family's 1533-position model. Lineage: Bacteria; Bacillati; Actinomycetota; Actinomycetes; Micrococcales; Micrococcaceae. The record is from RNAcentral.
UGCAUGACGCGCAGCCUGAUGCAGCGACGCCGCGUGAGGGAUGAAGGCCUUCGGGUUGUAAACCUCUUUCAGUAGGGAAGAAGCCGGCCUUUCGGGGUUGGUGACGGUACCUGCAGAAGAAGCGCCGGCUAACUACGUGCCAGCAGCCGCGGUAAUACGUAGGGCGCAAGCGUUAUCCGGAAUUAUUGGGCGUAAAGAGCUCGUAGGCGGUUUGUCGCGUCUGCCGUGAAAGUCCGGGGCUUAACCCCGGAUCUGCGGUGGGUACGGGCAGACUAGAGUGCAGUAGGGGAGACUGGAAUUCCUGGUGUAGCGGUGAAAUGCGCAAAUAUCAGGAGGAACACCGAUGGCGAAGGCAGGUCUCUGGGCUGUAACUGACGCUGAGGAGCGAAAGCAUGGGGAGCGAACAGGAUUAGAUACCCUGGUAGUCCAUGCCGUAAACGUUGGGCACUAGGUGUGGGGGACAUUCCACGUUUUCCGCGCCGUAGCUAACGCAUUAAGUGCCCCGCCUGGGGAGUACGGCCGCAAGGCUAAAACUCAAAUGAAUUGACGG